Molecule: ribosomal RNA, 497 nt
Filed under: uncultured bacterium
Lineage: Bacteria
Description: partial 16S ribosomal RNA
Rfam family: Bacterial small subunit ribosomal RNA
Source: RNAcentral
GACGAACGCUGGCGGCGUGCCUAAUACAUGCAAGUUGAGCGCUGAAGGUUGGUACUUGUACCGACUGGAUGAGCAGCGAACGGGUGAGUAACGCGUGGUGAAUCUGCCUUUGAGCGGGGGACAACAUUUGGAAACGAAUGCUAAUACCGCAUAAAAACUUUAAACACAAGUUUUAAGUUUGAAAGAUGCAAUUGCAUCACUCAAAGAUGAUCCCGCGUUGUAUUAGCUAGUUGGUGAGGUAAAGGCUCACCAAGGCGAUGAUACAUAGCCGACCUGAGAGGGUGAUCGGCCAAAUUGGGACUGAGACACGGCCCAAACUCCUACGGGAGGCAGCAGUAGGGAAUCUUCGGCAAUGGACGAAAGUCGGACCGAGCAACGCCGCGUGAGUGAAGAAGGUUUUCGGAUCGUAAAACUCUGUUGGUAGAGAAGAACGUUGGUGAGAGUGGAAAGCGCAUCAAGUGACGGUAACUACCCAGAAAGGGACGGCUAACUACGUG